RNAcentral lists this non-coding RNA (31 nucleotides) under Homo sapiens (human). Lineage: Eukaryota; Metazoa; Chordata; Mammalia; Primates; Hominidae. The record is from RNAcentral.
UUGAGCACAGUGUCAUCGUCCGUGGCCCAGU